UAAGGAAUAUUGGUCAAUGGACGCAAGUCUGAACCAGCCAUGCCGCGUGGAGGAUGAAGGUCCUCUGGAUUGUAAACUUCUUUUAUCUGGGAAGAAAUCCAUUUUUCUAGAAUGGUUGACGGUACCAGAUGAAUAAGCACCGGCUAACUCCGUGCCAGCAGCCGCGGUAAUACGGAGGGUGCAAGCGUUAUCCGGAUUCACUGGGUUUAAAGGGUGCGUAGGUGGGUAAGUAAGUCAGUGGUGAAAUCUCCGGGCUUAACCCGGAAACUGCCAUUGAUACUAUUUGUCUUGAAUACUGUGGAGGUCAGCGGAAUAUGUCAUGUAGCGGUGAAAUGCUUAGAUAUGACAUAGAACACCAAUUGCGAAGGCAGCUGGCUACACAAAUAUUGACACUGAGGCACGAAAGCGUGGGGAUCAAACAGGAUUAGAUACCUGGUAGUCCACGCCUAAACUAUAGGAUACUCGAC
This 467-nucleotide ribosomal RNA is filed under the name uncultured Bacteroidota bacterium. RNAcentral describes it as "bacterial SSU rRNA". It matches the Rfam family "Bacterial small subunit ribosomal RNA", at positions 355 to 821 of the family's 1533-position model. Lineage: Bacteria; Pseudomonadati; Bacteroidota. The record is from RNAcentral.